RNAcentral lists this ribosomal RNA (432 nucleotides) under uncultured bacterium. RNAcentral's name for it is "partial 16S ribosomal RNA". It matches the Rfam family "Bacterial small subunit ribosomal RNA", at positions 29 to 506 of the family's 1533-position model. The record is from RNAcentral.
AACGAACGCUGGCGGCAUGCCUAACACAUGCAAGUCGAACGAGACCUUCGGGUCUAGUGGCGCACGGGUGCGUAACGCGUGGGAACCUGCCCUUAGGUUCGGAAUAACUCCCCGAAAGGGGUGCUAAUACCGGAUAAUGUCUUCGGACCAAAGAUUUAUCGCCUUUGGAUGGGCCCGCGUUGGAUUAGCUAGUUGGUAGGGUAAAAGCCUACCAAGGCGACGAUCCAUAGCUGGUCUGAGAGGAUGAUCAGCCACACUGGGACUGAGACACGGCCCAGACCCCUACGGGAGGGAGCAGGGGGGAAUAUUGGACAAGGGGCGAAAGCCUGAUCCAGCAAGGCCGGGGGGGUGAUGAAGGCCUUAGGGUGGUAAAGCUCUUUUACCCGGGAUGAUAAUGACAGUACCGGGAAAAAAAGCCCCGGCUAACUCCGU